UAAUACGUAGGGUGCGAGCGUUAAUCGGAAUUACUGGGCGUAAAGCGUGCGUAGGCGGUUCGUUAAGUGCGUCGUGAAAGCCCCGGGCUCAACCUGGGAAUGGCGAUGGAAACUGGCGGGCUGGAGUAUGGCAGAGGGGGGUGGAAUUCCGCGUGUAGCAGUGAAAUGCGUAGAGAUGCG
This 180-nucleotide ribosomal RNA is filed under the name uncultured bacterium. Its description in RNAcentral is "partial 16S ribosomal RNA". It matches the Rfam family "Bacterial small subunit ribosomal RNA", at positions 521 to 700 of the family's 1533-position model. The record is from RNAcentral.